UGGGGAAUCUUGCACAAUGGGGGAAACCCUGAUGCAGCGACGCCGCGUGAGCGAUGAAGCCCUUCGGGGUGUAAAGCUCUUUCGGCAGGGAAGAUGAUGACGGUACCUGCAGAAGCAGCUGCGGCUAACUACGUGCCAGCAGCCGCGGUAAUACGUAGGCAGCAAGCGUUGUUCGGAGUUACUGGGCGUAAAGGGUGUGUAGGCGGUUCUUUAAGUUUGGUGUGAAAUCUCCCGGCUCAACUGGGAGGGUGCGCCGAAUACUGAGGGACUCGAGUGCGGGAGAGGAAAGUGGAAUUCCUGGUGUAGCGGUGAAAUGCGUAGAUAUCAGGAGGAACACCGGUGGUGUAAACGGCUUUCUGGACCGUAACUGACGCUGAGACACGAAAGCGUGGGUAGCAAACA
RNAcentral lists this ribosomal RNA (402 nucleotides) under uncultured bacterium. RNAcentral's name for it is "bacterial SSU rRNA". It matches the Rfam family "Bacterial small subunit ribosomal RNA", at positions 355 to 774 of the family's 1533-position model. RNAcentral also lists the same sequence under 1 other name. The record is from RNAcentral.